RNAcentral lists this ribosomal RNA (498 nucleotides) under uncultured bacterium. RNAcentral's name for it is "bacterial SSU rRNA". It matches the Rfam family "Bacterial small subunit ribosomal RNA", at positions 24 to 518 of the family's 1533-position model. The record is from RNAcentral.
UCAGGAUGAACGCUGGCGGCGUAGCCUAACACAUGCAAGUCGACGAAGCAUACCUGAAUGAGAUUCGUCGAAGGAUGGUAUGACUUAGUGGCGGACGGGUGAGUAAUGUAUGAGCAACCUGCCUUUCAGAGGGGGACAACAGUUGGAAACGACUGCUAAUACCGCAUAAUGUAUUGAGAGGGCAUCCUUUUGAUACCAAAGGAGCAAUCCGCUGAAAGAUGGGCUCAUAUCUGAUUAGUUAGUUGGCAGGGUAACGGCCUACCAAGACUGCGAUCAGUAGCCGGACUGAGAGGUUGAACGGCCACAUUGGGACUGAGAUACGGCCCAGACUCCUACGGGAGGCAGCAGUGGGGAAUAUUGGGCAAUGGGCGAAAGCCUCGACCCAGCAACGCCGCGUGAAGGAAGAAGGUCUUCGGAUUGUAAACUUCUUUUAUGAGGGACGAAGGACGUGACGGUACCUCAUGAAUAAGCCACGGCUAACUACGUGCCAGCCGCUGC